RNAcentral lists this ribosomal RNA (315 nucleotides) under uncultured bacterium. Its description in RNAcentral is "bacterial SSU rRNA". It matches the Rfam family "Bacterial small subunit ribosomal RNA", at positions 32 to 325 of the family's 1533-position model. The record is from RNAcentral.
AAUCAACGCUGGCGGCGUGCCUCAGACAUGCAAGUCGAACGCUGCUGUUCGCCUUCGGGUGGACAGCGGAGUGGCGCACGGGCGAGUAACACGUAGGUAAUCUACCUUUGGGUGGGGAAUAACAGCCGGAAACGGCUGCUAAUACCGCAUAAUGCAGCGGCAUCACAUGAUGACAGUUGUUAAAGCGAGGGAUCGUAAGACCUCGCGCCUGAAGAGGAGCCUGCGGCAGAUUAGGUAGUUGGUGAGGUAAUGGCUCACCAAGCCUGCGAUCUGUAACCGGCCUGAGAGGGCGGUCGGUCACACUGACACUGACAU